GGGGGGGGGGGGGGAGGAGCCACGCGGCUGUCCCCCCAUUGGUGAAGAAGAGGCACAUGAUGCAAGUGCCUCGGUGCGGCCGAUGUGUUCUCUACGCCCCCGCGUGAUGGACGCGCGCGGCCGGGUGGGAGCGGCGCAGGAAGGUUCCGCGCGGAUUUCGGCUGGUCCUGCUGCGCUGGUGAAGGCUCUGCGAGGUCACCGAGGAGAAGCUCCUGAAAGUGCCCGUACUUACCAAAAAACAUUAAUGUAAAGGGUAUAUAAAAUCAUAAAUAUUCUUGCUUCAAUUCUGUGCUUUUUGUUCAUCUUGAAAUGUGAAAGGAUUCAGCUCAAGGGCUGUCCUAUCUCUGUCCUGCACCCAUCGUUCUCCCUCCCUUCCACCCCUGCGAAAUGCAGCCUGAACACGGGAGCCUUGAAGACUAGGAAUAUUUGUCUCAGCAUUUGACUUGUCCAAUGGAAAAACAACUCCAAUCAUUCUUCUGAAAUGGACGCUGAAACAGCAUGGCUGUGUCUUGGAUAAUAGGAAUCUGAACUUAAUAUCCAAAAUCUGAAGGAAUUCAUUCUGUGCAGAAAUUAUUGUGGUAUAUUUCUUCUUGAAGAAUGUCCAGCAAGAAUGAAACACGUAAGACUGCAGAUUUAAAAAGGAUAAACAUUAUCUGAUACUUUAUUUAUAGAGCACCAAAGGGAAAAGGUAAAGGUUUUGUUAAAAAAAAGAGAAGCACUUUAAUUUUGUCUGACAAUUUUCCAAUAGAAUCUAAUUCAUUAGAGGAAAAAAAAAGAAGGCUAUGGGAGUUGGGAUUAUUCAGCCUGGGAAAGAGAAGCAUCCAGGGUGACCUUACUGCAGUCUUUCAGUACCUCAGGGCUCUCCAAGGGAGCUGGAGAGGGACCUUGGACAAGGGGUAAUGGCUUCCCACUGCCAGAGGGCAGGGUUAUUGGAAUAAUGAGAAGAACUUCCAUGGGAGAGUGGCGAGGCCCUGGCACGGUGUGCCCAUAGAAGCUCUUGCUGCUCCAUCCCUCAAAGUGUGCAAGGCCAGGUUGGACAGGGCUUUUGAAGCAACAUAGCCUAGUAGAAAGUGUCCCUGCCCAUGGCAGGGUAUAUAACUAGAUGAGUUUUAAGAUCCUUUCCAUCCCAAACCAUUCCAUGAUUCUGUGGUAUCCAAAGCAUGUGGUGAAAAGUUAAAUUUAAAUCUGUUCCUCAUUGGUAAAUGGCUAAAACCUGAGUUUCAUAUUUGAGUUGUUUGACCCCCAUCCCCAGUUGUGUAUGAGCCUGAGCUAACAAGUCUGCAGCUUUGGCCUGAGAACUUCACUUCCCAGAACAGCAUUUAGUUCUGUUUAUCCUCAGUUUGGCAUGUUAAGGCUAGCAAGUUGUAUCAUUCUACCUGGCAGGGAUUUCUCUGUGUGUUAGAGAAAACGCCUUGUGAAGGCAUCAAAAAAUCACUGUGCAUGUGUGUGCAGUGGCUUUUUUAAGCCUUAUCUCUGAAAAGCUGUGCACAGCAGAUCAUUGACCUGCAUGAAAGAAUUAGGAAAAUUACUGUCAAGAACUGUGUUUAGGUGUAUUAGCUUAUAACAAUCAAUGAGUCUAUUACAGAUUGUAGCAUCAUCUGUUGUGCUCAGUUUUUAUUUUGUUACAUUGUAGUCAAUGUCAGCAGCCGAUGUUCAAAAGUAAUAUAAAUCCUAUCAGUGUAAGGGCAGGGUAAUCACCCAAAUGUGUGUUCCUGAGGAACAUGAGCUUGAACUUAUGUAUCAUAUCAACCUUGUCCUCUUAGGUAAUCAGACUGUCUCUGUACCUACCAGGAACUUUGUCUCAUCAUCUUCAGGAAGGAACCAGUGUUUCUUUCCUGGUGUUGGAGAGGUUAACAAUAUUGUCUGAGUACUAAAUCACUGUGGACAGAGCAGUUGAACACCUUCCUGCUGCUCCUAUGGGAACUGACCUGUUCUGUGCAUGGGCUGGCUGGAUGCCAGUCCUUUCCAUCUGGCCCUUAGCAGAAGACCAGAGAAAUGCAGUUCUAUUUCAUUUGGCCAGCCCAGGUAGGAAAUUGGUCAUUGCCAUCUCACCAUUUGGUGGUGAUCAAUUUGACAAAAGUGAAGUGACAAUUCUUACACUUUCCCUAGCUGUUCUGCAGUAGGUUUCAGACAUGUUCCUGACUUCUGCUCUUUGGUCUCUCUUGCUCAAGUCUUGAAAGAUUUAUACCUUCAUUUGCUGGCUCUCUCAGCUGCCAGAUAUUGGCCCAAGGUGUAAUGAAAUUAAUUCACCUUUUGCAAAGCAGCAUUUAGAUUACAUCACAGCUCUGCCUUGGCCACAGCAGAGCCAUGCUUUGAUAGGAACCUCUCUGUCCAUGGAUGGAGACAUAACAGGCUUGUUUGGCCUGUGUCCCACUGCUGCAAACUGCUGAAUUUCUCAGUACUUUAGAGAUGAAAGUCUUCCCACUGGAAAUUCACCUUUGUCCUCUUUGGGGGCAGCUGUUUUUCCUUGGAAUCUCUCUCCCUAAACUUUGUUUAAAUAGUUCUAGAUCUUUCAGUUAUACUGAUUAUGACAGGCAACCUCCCUUUUUGUGUUUUUUUUUUCUUCUGCUACCAGCACCAUUUCCCUGAAUUUCUGUUCCUAGAGUCCUAGGAUCUCUGCAUCUUACAGUAAUGAGCAAAACAAGUCUGGCUGCUCAGGUGUCACAGGCAGUACUCCCUCAUUUUUGAAGUCUCCAGUGCAGUAGAAGGCAGCAGUUUGCUCUGGUGCACAUAGCUUUCCUCAUAAAUUACUUGUGGGUUGGUGGUUUGUGCAGCCGGUACAAGUGGAGCUUGGGGCAAACUGUACUGCUCUUCUUUAACCCUAAGGCUAAGUUUCUUACUCUGAAAUAAUCCCCAAGUCCCCUUGUUAAACUAGUCUUUUGAUUCCACACUGUUCAAAAUCUACGUUUCUAGGCUGUGGUGUGAAUUCCCAUGCAGUCCCAUGUAGUGUUUGCUGGGCCUUACCCUGGCACAGCAUUUUGUUAAGCCUCUUUCCACUGGAGUCCAGGCCAUAGCCUGAGGUCAUUGAAGAGUUUAUUUAUAUGGCCAUUGUUCUGCAAGUUGAAGGUAACUUCUUCUACAUCUGUGUGGGCCUUGAGUCAACAACUGUUCUUUUUCUCCCCCAUUUUUCAAGAAGCUAGCCUGCUAAGCCAAUACUUAAUGCAGGAGUCUUCAUAGUGGUAAGUACUAGAUUCUGCACCAGACAAGUGCCAUGAGUGCAGCAAAGUGUCUUUUUCACACAGCUGUGAGGUCUCCCAAGUUAACUGUUUGUAGCUUUAUUCUGUGUUUAUGUACAUGAAAAAAUGUAAAACUUUGCAUUGUAGAAAUGAGGUUUUCAGUGUCCAAGUGAAAUAAGCAGGCAGUGAAAAAUAAAUCUGAGACAUCACAAGUAAUCCCCAGGUGUUUACUGGUCCUGCCUUUAUCCUUUUUUUUUCUGGAAGGAAAAAAUGGCAUUGCCUUUGGAUGCAAAGUCCUCUGUCUAUCUCAUGAUGGAAGCUGCUGAUGUUCUAGGUCAGUGCUGGUCUACUGAACAUUCAACUUGGUACUUCUAAGAAGACUGGGUGCAGUUGCAAGCCCCAGUAAUCAGAUUGGCAUGGACCUCUUUUCCAUUGCCCUGAGUUUGUAGAAAGAAUUUCAAAGCAGUUUCCUGUAAUGAGCCUGAAGUCAUGUUGCCUCACAGCUUUUUGGUUCAUUGUUUCAUGUCAUGCCGUAUGCUGCCUCUGCUGUGUGAGGAGUUCUCAUUGUCUUCCAGUACAGAAUGGGAACUUCUGCUGUGAAAACAGAAUGCUGCUCCCUCCAACGUGGGGUGUUCUCCUUUAGACAGAUUAUGCCAGUCUCACUCCACAGAGAAGAGCUAUGUCAAAAAGCAUCAGAAGCAUUCCUUUUCUUGGGCAUGAGUUGUAUCUCCAUGUCAAUUCAAUACAAUCCAAGAACACAACCCUGAAGUCAAACAUUUAGAAGGAAGUGUUUUCCUCCUGGCUUCUCCUAGUAAGGACUUAUUCCCUAUAUGGCCUGGGGCAGCCCUAUUUCUUGUGUUCAUAGUUAACACAAGAAACAGGGCUGCCCCAGGUCAUACAGGGCAAGAAGCUGCACAAGAAGCUGCCCAGUUUCUCCAUAGUUUGUAUCAAGUAACAGAGCAAUUUGCUAACUAAAUGUAAGUAUCAUGAAGUUGGAACUCUCUUCAUUGAAGUGUCUUUCUCUCCUAUGUUGGAAAGCCUAAAUCCUGCAGUCCUUCUCUGGAACAGUAGUUCUAUAAACAGUCUGUGUAUCUGUCCUUACAAGACAUGCAGAGCAAGAUGUUCAAAGAUGAGCACCUAAACAUGUACUGGCAUAGCAGUUCAGAGACCUUUUCUGUAGUGCCAGGUGUCACUCUCUCGAUGUUUUGUUUUCAGGGAAUGUCACGUCAUGGAUUUAAAUUCAUUAGUUCACUCUAGGUACCAUUCUCAGUGAGACACUGUUUGUCAGAAAUUACUUUGUAAAUGAGUUUGCCGAAGAGUGGAAAGAGUGAUUGAGAGCAGGGAGACAUCUUGGAGUGAAUUGUCAGCAGGAUGGUGAACAGAGAGGAUCUUCUACUGCCAGUCAGGCUCCCAGUGUCCUGAGCCCAGGUUUGAUUAAUGAAUUAAUAACAUGAAAAAAAAUGUCACAGCUGUUACAGCAUUAUGUCACCACCUCAGUUCCACUGCAGAAAACAUUCUGUGCCUUGGCAGGAAAGACAGGCAGAAGAGCCUAUGAGAAGAUGGUAAAAAAGGAGCGAUUGUGAUGUCUUACAAGACUUUUCUUCACAAACUUGAAAGAGUUAUGGAUGGCAUGAAGUCAUUGUCAGAAAUUAAUAGUUUGGUCAAGGUUGGUCCACAGGGAUGCUGCAAAGGACCUGAGCCCAGAGGCUUUCUGCUCUGAACUGUAACUAUGAUGUUUUUAGUGGCUUUGACCAAUGUAAGGUGUGCAGGCUUCUUAACAAGGUAACUAACUAGUACAAUUCUUUUUAUGAAUAAAUAGUUUUUCCUCUCUCGUUA
This is a long non-coding RNA of Serinus canaria (Common canary), 5012 nucleotides long. RefSeq lists it as uncharacterized. Lineage: Eukaryota; Metazoa; Chordata; Aves; Passeriformes; Fringillidae. The transcript has 2 exons. The record is from RefSeq and is a predicted model, not a curated record.